Drosophila biarmipes is the source of this 551-nucleotide long non-coding RNA. RefSeq lists it as uncharacterized. The transcript is spliced from 3 exons. NCBI's taxonomy places the organism in Eukaryota, Metazoa, Arthropoda, Insecta, Diptera, Drosophilidae. The record is from RefSeq and is a predicted model, not a curated record.
AUGUCAUUUUAGAAUACUUUUCCGAAAUAAUCCCCACACUUUUCCAGUCUACAAUACAGGCUUUAUUUCUGCCAUUCCUGGGCCAAAGAAAUGGAUAACUCUUGGUUUCUGACUUUUAUUGUGGGCUGUAUUGUGGGUUAUUUGAUAGGCAAGAACCAUUAAUAGAGGCUUAUAUUUCCCAAAGCCUUAACAAGUUUCACAUCAACUGAAUUCGUCUGGCAAAAAUGGAUGUGGAUUGGGUGAUCACAUUUUUAGUUGGCUGUUUGGUAGGAUACAUGGUGGCCAGGAAUACCUAGAUUAUUCCUGUCUGCUCAAGUCUUGACUAGAAUCCGAAAUUCUCCUCACUUUUGGGAUCAAGAACGCAAACCUCUUUCGAAUAGCCCGCAUCCAAAUCAAAGAAGCAAAAUGACUCACGUUAUUUCCUUUGCCUUGGGCGUGAUUAUUGGAAUGAUGAGCUGCCGGAAGUGCUAGAUCCCUCAUCUAUUGAACUGAAAGUUAUCUAAAACCUGUUAAAAUACAAGCAAUAAAAAAUAUUAAAUUAUGAAAAGUAA